GAUUCAUUUGUUCUCCUGGGACGGACAACAUCGGGAAACUGAUGGGAAAACGUCUAAGUUGCAGUUAAUUGACUGUGACGUAAACCUUUGUGUGCAGGAGAGUAAGAUGCCAUCCUAUCAGUUAGUAAGUAGGGUAAGGGCCUACUUAGACGAAGACGGGUACGGGGAAUGAGGGUUUGAUUCCGGAGAGGGAGCCUGAGAGAUGGCUACCAGGACCAAGGUCAGCAGCAGGCGCGAAAAUUAUCGAAGCCCGCCUAGGGGCGAUAGUGAGGAGACGUGUAUAACGAAGUACGUGUAAAGAACGUGCUAAUAACUGGAGGUCAAGUCUGGUGCCAGCAUCCGCGGUAAUUCCAGCUCCAGGGGUGUCUAUGAUGAUUGCUGCGAUUAAAAAGUCCGUAGUCAAUCUGACUGANUGACCUGCAAUGUGAUUGAUUAAAGAACGAGCAGGGUUAGGAAAGCAGAGAAUUAGGAGCGACCGAGGGCUAGAGUAUUGAAUGGCGAGAGGUGAAAUUUGAUGACCCAUUCAGGAGUGACAAAGGCGAAGGCACUAGUCAAGGGCGAAUCCGAUGAUCAAGGACGUAGGCUAGAGUUUCGAAAACGAUUAGAGACCGGAGUAGUUCUAGCAGUAAACUAUGCCGACGCCGUGGUAUCAANAAUGGUAUUGCGGAAGAGAAAUCAAGUAAGGCUUUGGGGAGAGUACGCGCGCAAGCGAUAAAUUUAAAGG
Molecule: ribosomal RNA, 724 nt
Filed under: Dictyocoela sp. BK-17
Lineage: Eukaryota; Fungi; Microsporidia
Description: partial small subunit ribosomal RNA
Rfam family: Microsporidia small subunit ribosomal RNA
Source: RNAcentral